ACGUAGGGGGCAAGCGUUGAUCGGAAUCACUGGGCUUACAGCGCGUGUAGGCGGGGCCGCAGGUCUUCUGUGAAAGCCCCCGGCUCAACCGGGGAAUUGCAGGGGGAACCUCCGCUCUUGAGGCAGGUAGAGGUGAACGGAACGUGUGGUGGAGCGGUGAAAUGCGUAGAUAUCGCACGGAACGCCGAUGGUGAAGGCGGGUCACUGGGCCUGUCCUGACGCUGAGGCGCGAGAGCGUGGGGAGCAAACAG
RNAcentral lists this ribosomal RNA (251 nucleotides) under uncultured prokaryote. RNAcentral's name for it is "partial 16S ribosomal RNA". It matches the Rfam family "Bacterial small subunit ribosomal RNA", at positions 525 to 775 of the family's 1533-position model. The record is from RNAcentral.